Molecule: ribosomal RNA, 465 nt
Filed under: uncultured bacterium
Lineage: Bacteria
Description: bacterial SSU rRNA
Rfam family: Bacterial small subunit ribosomal RNA
Source: RNAcentral
UCCAGACUCCUACGGGAGGCAGCAGUGAGGAAUAUUGGUCAAUGGGCGCGAGCCUGAACCAGCCAAGUCGCGUGAGGGAAGACGGUCCUAUGGAUUGUAAACCUCUUUUGUCGGGGAGCAAAAGACGCCACGCGUGGCGUUCCGAGAGUACCCGAAGAAAAAGCAUCGGCUAACUCCGUGCCAGCAGCCGCGGUAAUACGGAGGGUGCGAGCGUUAUCCGGAUUUAUUGGGUUUAAAGGGUGCGUAGGCGGUCCGUUAAGUCAGCGGUAAAAUUGCGGGGCUCAACCCCGUCGAGCCGUUGAAACUGGCAGACUUGAGUUGGCGAGAAGUACGCGGAAUGCGCGGUGUAGCGGUGAAAUGCAUAGAUAUCGCGCAGAACUCCGAUUGCGAAGGCAGCGUACCGGCGCCAGACUGACGCUGAGGCACGAAAGCGUGGGGAUCGAACAGGAUUAGAUACCCUCGUAU